CUUCAGUGGCUCAAGGAAAAAGAGGGGAAAGAAGACACCUUUAUUCCUUACUCUAUGGCCUCCUUGGAGGUCUUGCUCCAUAAUGGGAAGUUUUUGCAAAUGUGGGAUGCUAUCUUCCCCUGAAAUUCUCCAAGGCUGGCUGGAGUUUCAGAGAUAGGAGUAUGUUAUCCCCUGGGUAUCUGCAAACAAUGGGUGGAAUGGAGACCAGCUGUGGCCACAAGGGCAGGAGCUGGGGCCUGAGAGUCCAGCACUUGCCUUUGCCUGGGUCUGCACACAGCAGGUAUUUGACACACCACCGACAGCUGGUGGGAUGGAUGGGAGGAGGCUGUACAGCACUAAAUGCACUUUAUGAAUUUGGGGUAGGUAAAAUCAAGCUUGUAUUUUAUCUUAAACAUGUUUUCUAUGAUGAAAAGGAACAAAAUUUUAAAAAACGAAGGUUUUUCCCUUCUAAAGGUUUCAGUUAAAGAGGACAUGCAAUUAAAUGUUGUUACCUCGAACAAGGAGUCUCAUGACUGUAGGAAGGGCAGACGGGCUCCAUUACCAACGCUGGGGUAGAAAGCACAGCUCUCCUGUUUUACCCAGCACAAAUGCAAUCCUGGCUAUUAAAAUAUUUGUGUUUCCAAAUACAACCAAAGGAAAUCUUAGAGAAACAUAAAUUAGAAAACUCUUUUAUUAAAGGGAAAUAACAAAAAAAGGUGUUUUUUGUUUUUGUUUUUGUUUUUUUUGUUUAAGAAGAAAACAAGCCUUAAAACCAUGAAGUUAAAUAGCUGGGUCUGGAGCAGAUGUGCAUAAUAACUAAUUAGUAGCUCCCAGAGGAUUAGAAACAGCUUUAGAAAGGGAACAGCUGAAUAUGGAUUGGUGUGUUUCAGAAGAGGCAGCAGUUAAUACUCUUCCAAUAAAAAUGAUGUGUUAACAGUGUUCAGCCUCAACCGGUGCUUUCUCAGAGAAUCUGCUUGAUAAGUUCAGGUCAUGAUGUGUUUACUUAUCAUGGCAAUGCAGAUGCGAUUAUUGAGAAGGCCUUCAUACCUCACAGUAUAAAGCAGUAAGUAGCUUCUGAGGCUGGUUCAAUGCAGAAGUAAAACUGACAGUUUUGCUAAAAGCUUAAGACUGCUAAUUGCCUAUUUUCUGCAGCUCUGACCAGCAUCCCUCUCACAUGACAAAAAAAAAAAAAAAACCAAAGAGUGUAGAGCGCCAACAGAAUGAAAAUGACAACACUUUUCUUUUGCCUCAGAAGGACACUGGUGCUUGUUGGUGCGCUGGAUUUUCCACUGAGUCCAAAUGACAAGAAUAUUUGGGCAAACAAUUGGUCACAAGUGGGUCGAGAUACUACUAUUGAAAGAGGAAGGCUAAAACUAAAGAGAUCCCUUGCUAUCAUUAAGGAUUAAUUUUUGUGUUUUUACUUUGAUUUUAAAAGUAAUAUUUGUCAAGGCUCCAAGGGGUUGAAUAAUUUAGGAUAAACCAUUACCACCCUGUCUGCAAGCCAUCUGCUGUUUUAAUGGUAGAUGUUAGAUACCCAUGCACAUGUAGAAAAAACAACCUUCCUUUUUUGGUAGGUUGUAAAGAAAUAUUUCAAAAGACAGUUUCUGACUGGAAUAACAGAAUGUUCUAAGUGUUCCUUUAUAAAAGUAUGUGACUUCAUGUAUACCAUUUUUAACAGAAAAAGCUACACCUGCCAAAAUGUAAGGAAACCAGCACUAAGCAUGCAAUACUGAAUGUGAGAAAGGAACUUCAACCAUAUUACUUCCUAUCUUUUAAAAUUCAAACCAAGUUUCAAAGUGGAGAGCCUGUGGUUGCUCCCUGAGUCCAGGUUUUAUCUUCCACGAGAGAAAAGGGCACAGCUGGUCUUCUGACAUCUUGGUCAGCACAUGAUGUUAUGAAUAAUGAAGGGCUUCCUGUCAAAAUGCUUGAUCAGUUUCAUGACAAGGGAGUUCUCUGGUCUCUGAUCUUAAGGAUGAGAUGGGUUUGUCUGGCGCAGGAAGAAGUGUGCCAAGGGAUGGAGCCUGGGCACCACCUGCCUGGGUACCUGGAGGAACACUUGACCUCAGUGAGAUAACCCGGGCAGUCCAAUAACAGCAUGUGAUCUGGCCAUUGUUCAUGAGUUUCAGAUCUGCCUCUGGUAUGGGGAGUCUGUUAGGAUUGGGCCUUUAAGAAAAAUAUGUGUGUUCCUUGUCUGCUAAAAGCCUGAAGAUUGUUUAAUAAUAUUCUAGCCCAAGUUAUUUCACCCUGAUUACCCCGUGCUAUGUACACAGUAUCGAAAUUACAUUCAGAGAUUUAAGAAAAAUUGUAGCAAUAUUUUCCCCACAAAACUCAGUGCAAAAUAUCUUUAACAAAUAAUGAUGGCAGUAAGAAAUAUUCGACAUAGUCAUGCAAAAAUGCAUCUGAGCUUACAAAGGUUUAGAACAUUUCCAAAAUAUGCCCUAGGUUUUU
Molecule: long non-coding RNA, 2427 nt
Organism: Callithrix jacchus (white-tufted-ear marmoset)
Lineage: Eukaryota; Metazoa; Chordata; Mammalia; Primates; Cebidae
Source: Ensembl